Molecule: ribosomal RNA, 253 nt
Filed under: uncultured bacterium
Lineage: Bacteria
Description: partial 16S ribosomal RNA
Rfam family: Bacterial small subunit ribosomal RNA
Source: RNAcentral
GACAGAGGAUGCAAGCGUUAUCCGGAAUGAUUGGGCGUAAAGCGUCUGUAGGUGGCUUUUCAAGUCCGCCGUCAAAUCCCAGGGCUCAACCCUGGACAGGCGGUGGAAACUACCAAGCUGGAGUACGGUAGGGGCAGAGGGAAUUUCCGGUGGAGCGGUGAAAUGCAUUGAGAUAGGAAAGAACGCCCGUGGCGAAAGCGAGGUCCUGGACGCCUACUGACGCUGAGACGCGAAAGCCAGGGGAGCGAACGGG